AACGAACGCUGGCGGCAUGCCUAACACAUGCAAGUCGAACGAGACCUUCGGGUCUAGUGGCGCACGGGUGCGUAACGCGUGGGAACGUGCCCUUAGGUUCGGAAUAACUCCCCGACAGGGGUGCUAAUACCGGAUAAUGUCUUCGGAUCAAAGAUUUAUCGUCUUUGGAUGGGCCCGCGUUGGAUUAGCUAGUUGGUAGGGUAAAAGCCUACCAAGGCGUCGAUCCAUAGCUGGUCUGAGAGGAAGAUCAGCCACACUUGGACUGAGACACGGCCCAGACUCCUACAGGAUGCAGCAGUGGGUGAUAUUGGAAAAUGGGCGGAAUCCAGAUCCAGCACUGCCGGGUGAGUGAUGAAGGCCUUAGGGUAGUAAAGCUCUUUUACCCGGGAUUGUUAUGACGGUACCGAGAGAAUAAGCACCGGCUAACUCCGUG
Molecule: ribosomal RNA, 433 nt
Filed under: uncultured bacterium
Lineage: Bacteria
Description: partial 16S ribosomal RNA
Rfam family: Bacterial small subunit ribosomal RNA
Source: RNAcentral